This 194-nucleotide ribosomal RNA is filed under the name uncultured Marinobacter sp. RNAcentral's name for it is "partial 16S ribosomal RNA". It matches the Rfam family "Bacterial small subunit ribosomal RNA", at positions 338 to 524 of the family's 1533-position model. Lineage: Bacteria; Pseudomonadati; Pseudomonadota; Gammaproteobacteria; Pseudomonadales; Marinobacteraceae. The record is from RNAcentral.
CCUACGGGAGGCAGCAGUGGGGAAUAUUGCACAAUGGGCGCAAGCCUGAUGCAGCCAUGCCGCGUGUGUGAAGAAGGCCUUCGGGUUGUAAAGCACUUUCAGUCAGGAGGAAAGGUUAGUAGUUAAUACCUGCUAGCUAUGACGUUACUGACAGAAGAAGCACCGGCUAACUCCGUGCCAGCAGCCGCGGUAAU